This 460-nucleotide ribosomal RNA is filed under the name uncultured bacterium. RNAcentral's name for it is "partial 16S ribosomal RNA". It matches the Rfam family "Bacterial small subunit ribosomal RNA", at positions 338 to 795 of the family's 1533-position model. The record is from RNAcentral.
CCUACGGGAUGCAGCAGUGAGGAAUAUUGGUCCAUGGACGGAAGUCUGAACCAGCCAUGCCGCGUGCAGGAAGACGGCUCUAUGAGUUGUAAACUGCUUUUGUACAAGGGUACACCUGAAUACGUGUAUUCAGCUGAAAGUACUGUACGAAUAAGUAUCGGCUCACUCCGUGCCAGCAGCCGCGGUAAGACGGAGGAUACAAGCGUUAACCGGAUUUAUUGGGUGUAAAGGGUACGUAGGCGGAUUGAUAAGUGAGAGGUGAAAUGUCCGAGCUCAACUCGGGAACUGCCUCUAAUACUGGUGAUCGAGAGAGUAGAUGCGGUAGGCGGAAUGUAUGGUGUAGCGGUGAAAUGCUUAGAGAUCAGACAGAACACCGAUGGCGAAGGCAGCUUACCAAUCUAUAUCUGACGUUGAGGCACGAAAGCGUGGGGAGCAAACAGGAUUAGAUACCCGAGUAGUC